Cajanus cajan (pigeon pea) is the source of this 416-nucleotide non-coding RNA. Lineage: Eukaryota; Viridiplantae; Streptophyta; Magnoliopsida; Fabales; Fabaceae. The record is from RefSeq and is a predicted model, not a curated record.
UUCUGUCACUCCAUUCAAAUCCUUUGCUUCUUCUUUGUUUUCUUUUCCGAUAAAACAAAAACAGGAAACAAAGGUUUUAGUUAUUGGAAAUGGCUAGGAUGUCUUUCAUCCGAUACUUUCUCUUAUUCCUUAUUAUUUCAGUUGUUUCAAUGAGAAGUGAAGGUGCUCCACCGAAAAUAUGUACAAAAGUGGUGCUAUCGGAUUCGUGUGAGUUUAAAAAGUGUGACCUGCGUUGCAAAGAGUUUUUCGAUAUCCGAUUGCUGGUCUCUUCAGAAUGCGUUCAGAAGGAGGUGGGUUCAGAUAUUCUACAAUGUGUUUGUUUCUAUCACUGUUAAACUACACAUUAUAAUAACACAUGUACCCUAAAUUCUUGGUUAACAUUAUAUGAAUAAGAUGGGGCUUGAUUGUUUACUCAA